CCUACGGGAGACUGCAGUGAGGAAUAUUGGUCAAUGGGCGCGAGUCUGAACCAGCCAAGUAGCGUGAAGGAUGACUGCCCUACGGGUUGUAAACUUCUUUUAUAAGGGAAUAAAGCGAUCCACGUGUGCCUUUUUGUAUGUACUUUAUGAAUAAGGAUCGGCUAACUCCGUGCCAGCAGCCGCGGUAAUACGGAGGAUCCGAGCGUUAUCCGGAUUUAGUGGGUUUAAAGGGAGCGUAGAUGGGUUGUUAAGUCAGUUGUGAAAGUUUGCGGCUCAACCGUAAAAUUGCAGUUGAUACUGGCAGCCUUGAGGACAGUUGAGGUAGGCGGAAUUCGUGGUGUAGCGGUGAAAUGCUUAGAUAUCACGAAGAACUCCGAUUGCGAAGGCAGUUUACUAAACUGCCACUGACACUGAUGCUCGAAAGUGUGGGUAUCAAACAGGAUUAGAUACCCGGGUAGUC
Molecule: ribosomal RNA, 460 nt
Filed under: uncultured bacterium
Lineage: Bacteria
Description: partial 16S ribosomal RNA
Rfam family: Bacterial small subunit ribosomal RNA
Source: RNAcentral